CUGGCGGCGUGCCUAAUACAUGCAAGUCGAACGGCUUUUCUAUGGAAGCUUGCUUCCACUGAGAAGAUAGUGGCGAACGGGUGAGUAACACGUGGGUAACCUGCCCAUAAGAGGGGGAUAACAUCCGGAAACGGGUGCUAAUACCGCAUAGUUUUCUUGAUUGCAUGAUUGAGAAAGGAAAGACGGCCUUUGUGCUGUCGCUUAUGGAUGGACCCGCGGCGUAUUAGUUAGUUGGUGAGGUAACGGCUCACCAAGACGAUGAUACGUAGCCGACCUGAGAGGGUGAUCGGCCACAUUGGGACUGAGACACGGCCCAAACUCCUACGGGAGGCAGCAGUAGGGAAUCUUCCGCAAUGGACGAAAGUCUGACGGAGCAACGCCGCGUGAGUGAAGAAGGUUUUUCCGGAUCGUAAGACUCUGUUGUCAGAGAAGAACAAGUUGGAGAGUAACUGCUCCAGCCUUGACGGUAUCUGACCAGAAAGCCACGGCUAACUACGUGCCAGCCGCUGC
Molecule: ribosomal RNA, 510 nt
Filed under: uncultured bacterium
Lineage: Bacteria
Description: bacterial SSU rRNA
Rfam family: Bacterial small subunit ribosomal RNA
Source: RNAcentral